UGUGAGCUCGAUGAGUAGGGCGGGACACGUGGUAUCCUGUCUGAAUAUGGGGGGACCAUCCUCCAAGGCUAAAUACUCCUGACUGACCGAUAGUGAACCAGUACCGUGAGGGAAAGGCGAAAAGAACCCCGGCGAGGGGAGUGAAAAAGAACCUGAAACCGUGUACGUACAAGCAGUGGGAGCACGCUUAGGCGUGUGACUGCGUACCUUUUGUAUAAUGGGUCAGCGACUUAUAUUCUGUAGCAAGGUUAACCGAAUAGGGGAGCCGAAGGGAAACCGAGUCUUAACUGGGCGUUAAGUUGCAGGGUAUAGACCCGAAACCCGGUGAUCUAGCCAUGGGCAGGUUGAAGGUUGGGUAACACUAACUGGAGGACCGAACCGACUAAUGUUGAAAAAUUAGCGGAUGACUUGUGGCUGGGGGUGAAAGGCCAAUCAAACCGGGAGAUAGCUGGUUCUCCCCGAAAGCUAUUUAGGUAGCGCCUCGUGAAUUCAUCUCCGGGGGUAGAGCACUGUUUCGGCAAGGGGGUCAUCCCGACUUACCAACCCGAUGCAAACUGCGAAUACCGGAGAAUGUUAUCACGGGAGACACACGGCGGGUGCUAACGUCCGUCGUGAAGAGGGAAACAACCCAGACCGCCAGCUAAGGUCCCAAAGUCAUGGUUAAGUGGGAAACGAUGUGGGAAGGCCCAGACAGCCAGGAUGUUGGCUUAGAAGCAGCCAUCAUUUAAAGAAAGCGUAAUAGCUCACUGGUCGAGUCGGCCUGCGCGGAAGAUGUAACGGGGCUAAACCAUGCACCGAAGCUGCGGCAGCGACGCUGAUGCGUUGUUGGGUAGGGGAGCGUUCUGUAAGCCUGUGAAGGUGUGCUGUGAGGCAUGCUGGAGGUAUCAGAAGUGCGAAUGCUGACAUAAGUAACGAUAAAGCGGGUGAAAAGCCCGCUCGCCGGAAGACCAAGGGUUCCUGUCCAACGUUAAUCGGGGCAGGGUGAGUCGACCCCUAAGGCGAGGCCGAAAGGCGUAGUCGAUGGGAAACAGGUUAAUAUUCCUGUACUUGGUGUUACUGCGAAGGGGGGACGGAGAAGGCUAUGUUGGCCGGGCGACGGUUGUCCCGGUUUAAGCGUGUAGGCUGGUUUUCCAGGCAAAUCCGGAAAAUCAAGGCUGAGGCGUGAUGACGAGGCACUACGGUGCUGAAGCAACAAAUGCCCUGCUUCCAGGAAAAGCCUCUAAGCAUCAGGUAACAUCAAAUCGUACCCCAAACCGACACAGGUGGUCAGGUAGAGAAUACCAAGGCGCUUGAGAGAACUCGGGUGAAGGAACUAGGCAAAAUGGUGCCGUAACUUCGGGAGAAGGCACGCUGAUAUGUAGGUGAAGCGACUUGCUCGUGGAGCUGAAAUCAGUCGAAGAUACCAGCUGGCUGCAACUGUUUAUUAAAAACACAGCACUGUGCAAACACGAAAGUGGACGUAUACGGUGUGACGCCUGCCCGGUGCCGGAAGGUUAAUUGAUGGGGUUAGCGCAAGCGAAGCUCUUGAUCGAAGCCCCGGUAAACGGCGGCCGUAACUAUAACGGUCCUAAGGUAGCGAAAUUCCUUGUCGGGUAAGUUCCGACCUGCACGAAUGGCGUAAUGAUGGCCAGGCUGUCUCCACCCGAGACUCAGUGAAAUUGAACUCGCUGUGAAGAUGCAGUGUACCCGCGGCAAGACGGAAAGACCCCGUGAACCUUUACUAUAGCUUGACACUGAACAUUGAGCCUUGAUGUGUAGGAUAGGUGGGAGGCUUUGAAGUGUGGACGCCAGUCUGCAUGGAGCCGACCUUGAAAUACCACCCUUUAAUGUUUGAUGUUCUAACGUGGACCCGUAAUCCGGGUUGCGGACAGUGUCUGGUGGGUAGUUUGACUGGGGCGGUCUCCUCCUAAAGAGUAACGGAGGAGCACGAAGGUUGGCUAAUCCUGGUCGGACAUCAGGAGGUUAGUGCAAUGGCAUAAGCCAGCUUGACUGCGAGCGUGACGGCGCGAGCAGGUGCGAAAGCAGGUCAUAGUGAUCCGGUGGUUCUGAAUGGAAGGGCCAUCGCUCAACGGAUAAAAGGUACUCCGGGGAUAACAGGCUGAUACCGCCCAAGAGUUCAUAUCGACGGCGGUGUUUGGCACCUCGAUGUCGGCUCAUCACAUCCUGGGGCUGAAGUAGGUCCCAAGGGUAUGGCUGUUCGCCAUUUAAAGUGGUACGCGAGCUGGGUUUAGAACGUCGUGAGACAGUUCGGUCCCUAUCUGCCGUGGGCGCUGGAGAACUGAGGGGGGCUGCUCCUAGUACGAGAGGACCGGAGUGGACGCAUCACUGGUGUUCGGGUUGUCAUGCCAAUGGCACUGCCCGGUAGCUAAAUGCGGAAGAGAUAAGUGCUGAAAGCAUCUAAGCACGAAACUUGCCCCGAGAUGAGUUCUCCCUGACUCCUUGAGAGUCCUGAAGGAACGUUGAAGACGACGACGUUGAUAGGCCGGGUGUGUAAGCGCAGCGAUGCGUUGAGCUAACCGGUACUAAUGAACCGUGAGGCUUAACCUU
This 2547-nucleotide ribosomal RNA is filed under the name Escherichia coli O104:H4 str. Ec11-9990. RNAcentral describes it as "bacterial LSU rRNA". It matches the Rfam family "Bacterial large subunit ribosomal RNA", at positions 398 to 2925 of the family's 2925-position model. Lineage: Bacteria; Pseudomonadati; Pseudomonadota; Gammaproteobacteria; Enterobacterales; Enterobacteriaceae. The record is from RNAcentral.